This 119-nucleotide ribosomal RNA is filed under the name Halocynthia roretzi. The record is from RNAcentral. Lineage: Eukaryota; Metazoa; Chordata; Ascidiacea; Stolidobranchia; Pyuridae.
AUCUACGGCCAUACCACAUUGAGAGCACCCGAUCUCGUUCGAUCUCGGAAGUUAAGCAAUGUAGGGAUCAGUUAGUACUUGGAUGGGUGACCGCCUGGGAAUACUGGUUGCUGUAGAAA